RNAcentral lists this long non-coding RNA (380 nucleotides) under Dendronephthya gigantea. Its description in RNAcentral is "uncharacterized LOC114537824, transcript variant X2". Lineage: Eukaryota; Metazoa; Cnidaria; Anthozoa; Malacalcyonacea; Nephtheidae. The record is from RNAcentral.
UUGGUCAACAUCGGAAGUGAACAAGAUUUCUGCACAGAGAUUUUCCUUGAUCAAGAGUGCAACCAGAUACGUUAGCUGCUGUGGAUAUGGACUUUACUGUCAGAGGAAAAUUGGAAGUGAAAAAGAUUUUUGCAGAGAUUUUCCCUGGUCAAGAGUGCAACAUGAGUCGUGGAUAUGAACUUUACUGUCAGAUGUACAUUGAUUGAAAAGUGAACAAGAUAUCUGCACUGAGAAUGAAUGAAGUUGAAGAAAGUUGAAAGGCACCCCAGAAGAACCUGAAUUAUUUUAGCCCUAUCCUAGAUUCAUUGAAUAUUUUAGUGUGUGAUAACAUGUGUGAAAUGUGAUCAAUUAUGUGACAAUUUUCAAAACUUGGAUUUAUA